UACAGGGGGUGCAAACGUUGCUCGGAAUCAUUGGGCGUAAAGCGCACGUAGGCGGUUCGUUAUGUCGGAUGUGAAAGCCCUUGGCUUAACCGAGGAAGUGCAUCCGAAACUGGCGAGCUAGAGUACUAAAGAGGAUCGCGGAAUUCCCGGUGUAGAGGUGAAAUUCGUAGAUAUUGGGAAGAACACCUGAGGCGAAGGCGGGUUGCUGGGCCGACACUGACGCUGAGGCGCGAAAGCCAGGGGAGCAAACGGG
This 253-nucleotide ribosomal RNA is filed under the name uncultured bacterium. Its description in RNAcentral is "partial 16S ribosomal RNA". It matches the Rfam family "Bacterial small subunit ribosomal RNA", at positions 524 to 776 of the family's 1533-position model. The record is from RNAcentral.